GAUGAACGCUGGCGGCGUGCCUAAUACAUGCAAGUCGAGCGAAUGGAUUGAGAGCUUGCUCUUAUGAAGUUAGCGGCGGACGGGUGAGUAACACGUGGGUAACCUGCCCAUAAGACUAGGAUAACUCCGGGAAACCGGGGCUAAUACCGGAUAACAUUUUGAACCGCAUGGUUCGAAAUUGAAAGGCGGCCUCGGCUGUCACUUAUGGAUGGACCCGCGUCGCAUUAGCUAGUUGGUGAGGUAACGGCUCACCAAGGCAACGAUGCGGAGCCGACCUGAGAGGGUGAUCGGCCACACUGGGACUGAGACACGGCCCAGACUCCUACGGGAGGCAGCAGUAGGGAAUCUUCCGCAAUGGACGAAAGUCUGACGGAGCAACGCCGCGUGAGUGAUGAAGGCUUUCGGGUCGUAAAACUCUGUUGUUAGGGAAGAACAAGUGCUAGUUGAAUAAGCUGACACCUUGACGGUACCUAACCAGAAAGCCACGGCUAACUACGUGCCAGCCGCCGCAGUAA
RNAcentral lists this ribosomal RNA (515 nucleotides) under uncultured bacterium. Its description in RNAcentral is "partial 16S ribosomal RNA". It matches the Rfam family "Bacterial small subunit ribosomal RNA", at positions 28 to 523 of the family's 1533-position model. The record is from RNAcentral.